GACGAACGCUGGCGGCGUGCUUAACACAUGCCAGUCGAACGGAAAGGCCCUGCUCUUGCUGGGUGCUCGAGUGGCGAACGGGUGAGUAACACGUGAGUAACCUGCCCUUGACUUUGGGAUAACUCCAGGAAACUGGGGCUAAUACCGGAUAGGAGCUCCUGCUGCACGGUGGGGGUUGGAAAGUUUCGGCGGUUGGGGAUAGACUCGCAGGUUAUCAGCUUGUUGGUGAGGUAGUGGCUUACCAGGGCUUUGACGGGUAGCCGGCCUGGGAGGGGGACCGGGCACAAUGGGACUGAGAUACGGCCCAGACGCGUACGGGAGGCAGCGGUGGGGAAUAUUGCGCAAUGGGCGGAAGCCUGAUGCAGCGGCCCCGCGUGCGGAAUAACGGCCUUCGGGUUGUAAACCGCUUUCGCCUGUGACGAAGCGUGAGUGACGGUAAUGAAUAAGGAAGCACCGGCUAACUACGUG
This 468-nucleotide ribosomal RNA is filed under the name uncultured bacterium. Its description in RNAcentral is "partial 16S ribosomal RNA". It matches the Rfam family "Bacterial small subunit ribosomal RNA", at positions 28 to 507 of the family's 1533-position model. The record is from RNAcentral.